RNAcentral lists this ribosomal RNA (253 nucleotides) under uncultured bacterium. RNAcentral's name for it is "partial 16S ribosomal RNA". It matches the Rfam family "Bacterial small subunit ribosomal RNA", at positions 524 to 776 of the family's 1533-position model. The record is from RNAcentral.
UACGGAGGGCGCAAGCGUUGUUCGGAAUUACUGGGCGUAAAGCGCAUGUAGGCGGCCUGGAAAGUCGGGUGUGAAAUCCCGGAGCUCAACUCCGGAACUGCAUCCGAUACUGCCAGGCUCGAGUCUCGGAGAGGAUGGCGGAAUUUCCGGUGUAGAGGUGAAAUUCGUAGAUAUCGGAAGGAACACCAGUGGCGAAGGCGGCCGUCUGGACGAUGACUGACGCUGAGAUGAGAAAGCGUGGGGAGCAAACAGG